CACAAGACCAGGGUCCUAUUUGUGGCAAUUGUAAUUAAUUCAGCAGAUUAUAUACUUAAAUGUUUAUAUAGACACACUAGCUGUGAGGAGGCUGUGUCAGAGAGUUGGAGAAACUGAAGGUGUCGCCGUUGUCGCCCCACGCUCACGUGUCCAACUCGGUUGGCGAAACAGUGGAUUUACGAUAAAGGGAACAUUUGCGAUGACUCGCUGCAGCCCGACGCCACAUGCCAGAUCUCCGGCGUGACGCUUGUGCAGCAGCAUCAGGGUGUGCUCGCUGAAUUGCGCCGCCAGCUGGUCCUUGUUGUGGGCGGAGAAGCGGAAGACGCCCGAGGAUGACGGCACCCAGGAUACGCAGUGGGCCAUGGCGGGGUCCUCCAGCAUCUCGAAGAGGAAGUGAAACAGACGAACCUUUCGACCUGCAAGAACCAGAGCCAGCGUGGCCCUGGGGCGAGGAGGUUUCCGCCCUCAUCGGUGGACGCCAACCUCGGACAGGUAUGAAACAUUUUCCGCUA
Long non-coding RNA from Phyllopteryx taeniolatus (common seadragon), 512 nucleotides. RefSeq lists it as uncharacterized. The record is from RefSeq and is a predicted model, not a curated record. The transcript has 4 exons. NCBI's taxonomy places the organism in Eukaryota, Metazoa, Chordata, Actinopteri, Syngnathiformes, Syngnathidae.